This 253-nucleotide ribosomal RNA is filed under the name uncultured bacterium. Its description in RNAcentral is "partial 16S ribosomal RNA". It matches the Rfam family "Bacterial small subunit ribosomal RNA", at positions 524 to 776 of the family's 1533-position model. The record is from RNAcentral.
GACGUAGGGCGCGAGCGUUGUCCGGACUUAUUGGGCGUAAAGAGCUCGUAGGCGGCUUGUCGCGUCGAAUGUGAAAACCUGCAGCUCAACUGCAGGCUUGCAUUCGAUACGGGCAGGCUCGAGUUCGGUAGGGGAGACUGGAAUUCCUGGUGUAGCGGUGAAAUGCGCAGAUAUCAGGAGGAACACCGGUGGCGAAGGCGGGUCUCUGGGCCGAUAUUGACGCUGAGGAGCGAAAGCGUGGGGAGCGAACAGG